CGGGUGAGUAACGCGUGAGUAACCUGCCUCUCAGAGGGGAUAACGUUCUGAAAAGGACGCUAAUACCGCAUGACAUCCCGGGGCCGCAUGGUCCUGGGAUCAAAGGAGCAAUCCGCUGAGAGAUGGACUCGCGUCCGAUUAGCUAGUUGGUGAGAUAAAGGCCCACCAAGGCGACGAUCGGUAGCCGGACUGAGAGGUUGAACGGCCACAUUGGGACUGAGACACGGCCCAGACUCCUACGGGAGGCAGCAUG
Molecule: ribosomal RNA, 253 nt
Filed under: uncultured bacterium
Lineage: Bacteria
Description: partial 16S ribosomal RNA
Rfam family: Bacterial small subunit ribosomal RNA
Source: RNAcentral